ACGGGAGGCAGCAGUGGGGAAUAUUGGGCAAUGGGGGGAACCCUGACCCAGCAACGCCGCGUGAGGGACGAAGGUUUUCGGAUCGUAAACCUCUGUCCUUGGUGAAGAGUAAGAGACGGUAACCAGGGAGGAAGCCCCGGCUAACUACGUGCCAGCAGCCGCGGUAAUACGUAGGGGGCAAGCGUUGUCCGGAAUGAUUGGGCGUAAAGGGCGCGUAGGCGGCCUUUUAAGUCUGAAGUGAAAGUCCUGUUUUUAAGAUGGGAAUUGCUUUGGAUACUGGAGGGCUUGAGUGCAGGAGAGGUUAGUGGAAUUCCCAGUGUAGCGGUGAAAUGCGUAGAGAUUGGGAGGAACACCAGUGGCGAAGGCGGCUUACUGGACUGUAACUGACGUUGAGGCUCGGAAGCGUGGGGAGCAAACAGGAUUAGAUACCCUGGUA
Molecule: ribosomal RNA, 436 nt
Filed under: uncultured bacterium
Lineage: Bacteria
Description: partial 16S ribosomal RNA
Rfam family: Bacterial small subunit ribosomal RNA
Source: RNAcentral